CGCCUGGUAAAAUUAUACCAGGUAGAUUCUGCCCAAUGAACUUUAAAUGGCCGCAGUAUCCUGACUGUGCUAAGGUAGCAUAAUAAUUUGCCUCUUAAUUGGAGGCUAGAAUGAAUGAACUGACGAAGAGCUUUCUGUCUCAGAAGCUUACAGAAAAUUUAUAUUCAGGUAAAAAAUCCUGAAAGUUGUAGGGGGACGAUAAGACCCUAAAAGCUUUACCCUUAAACUCUAAAGCAGUAAAAAAUUAUUUAGAUUUAUUGGGUUUUCACUGGGGCGGUGACUUUACCUAACUAAAGCCAUUCAAAUACUUUGAGUAAAACUAAUUACCUUAAUUUAAAUCUACAGAAUAAGUUACUUUAGGGAUAACAGCGCAAUUUUCUGAAAGAGCCCAUAUCGACCAGAAAGAUUACGACCUCGAUGUUGAAUUGAAGCCUUAGCUAAAGCAGCAUUUAGCUUUAAGAAGACUGUUCGUCUUUUAAACCUUC
Molecule: ribosomal RNA, 485 nt
Filed under: Ligia sp. Careyes F
Lineage: Eukaryota; Metazoa; Arthropoda; Malacostraca; Isopoda; Ligiidae
Description: partial 16S ribosomal RNA
Rfam family: Bacterial large subunit ribosomal RNA
Source: RNAcentral